CCAGAGUCCUACGGGAGGCAGCAGUGGGGAAUCUUCCGCAAUGGACGAAAGUCUGACGGAGCAACGCCGCGUGAGUGAUGACGGCCUUCGGGUUGUAAAGCUCUGUUAAUCGGGACGAAUGGCCUUUGUGCGAAUAGUGAGAAGGAUUGACGGUACCGGAAUAGAAAGCCACGGCUAACUACGUGCCAGCAGCCGCGGUAAUACGUAGGUGGCAAGCGUUGUCCGGAAUUAUUGGGCGUAAAGCGCGCGCAGGCGGAUAGGUCAGUCUGUCUUAAAAGUUCGGGGCUUAACCCCGUGAUGGGAUGGAAACUGCCAAUCUAGAGUAUCGGAGAGGAAAGUGGAAUUCCUAGUGUAGCGGUGAAAUGCGUAGAUAUUAGGAAGAACACCAGUGGCGAAGGCGACUUUCUGGACGAAAACUGACGCUGAGGCGCGAAAGCCAGGGGAGCGAACGGGAUUAGAUACCCCGGUAGUCCUGGCCGUAAACGAUGGGUACUAGGUGUAGGAGGUAUCGACACCUUCUGUGCCGGAGUUAACGCAAUAAGUACCCCGCCUGGGGA
Molecule: ribosomal RNA, 557 nt
Filed under: uncultured bacterium
Lineage: Bacteria
Description: bacterial SSU rRNA
Rfam family: Bacterial small subunit ribosomal RNA
Source: RNAcentral